Molecule: ribosomal RNA, 233 nt
Filed under: uncultured bacterium
Lineage: Bacteria
Description: partial 16S ribosomal RNA
Rfam family: Bacterial small subunit ribosomal RNA
Source: RNAcentral
UCCACGCCGUAAACGAUGAAUACUCGUUGUCUGCAAUAUACAGUAGGCGACUGAGCGAAAGCAUUAAGUAUUCCACCUGGGGAGUACGUUGGCAACAAUGAAACUCAAAGGAAUUGACGGGGGCCCGCACAAGCGGAGGAACAUGUGGUUUAAUUCGAUGAUACGCGAGGAACCUUACCCGGGUUUAAAUGCAGGACGAAACUCUGAGAGAUCGGGAGCCUCUUCGGACGGAC